RNAcentral lists this ribosomal RNA (494 nucleotides) under uncultured bacterium. RNAcentral's name for it is "partial 16S ribosomal RNA". It matches the Rfam family "Bacterial small subunit ribosomal RNA", at positions 29 to 507 of the family's 1533-position model. The record is from RNAcentral.
ACGAACGCUGGCGGCGUGCCUAAUACAUGCAAGUAGAACGCUGAAGGAGGAGCUUGCUCUUCUGGAUGAGUUGCGAACGGGUGAGUAACGCGUAGGUAACCUGCCUGGUAGCGGGGGAUAACUAUUGGAAACGAUAGCUAAUACCGCAUAACAGUAGAUGUUGCAUGACAUUUACUUAAAAGGUGCAAUUGCAUCACUACCAGAUGGACCUGCGUUGUAUUAGCUAGUUGGUGGGGUAACGGCUCACCAAGGCGACGAUACAUAGCCGACCUGAGAGGGUGAUCGGCCACACUGGGACUGAGACACGGCCCAGACUCCUACGGGAGGCAGCAGUAGGGAAUCUUCGGCAAUGGACGGAAGUCUGACCGAGCAACGCCGCGUGAGUGAAGAAGGUUUUCGGAUCGUGAAGCUCUGUUGUAAGAGAAGAACGAGCGUGAGAGUGGAAAGUUCACACUGUGACGGUAUCUGACCAGAAAGGGACGGCUAACUACGUG